Molecule: non-coding RNA, 1271 nt
Organism: Cyanistes caeruleus (blue tit)
Lineage: Eukaryota; Metazoa; Chordata; Aves; Passeriformes; Paridae
Source: RefSeq, a predicted model, not a curated record
UAUAUAGAUCUAGAUCUAGAUCUAGAUAUAGAUAUAUAUAUAAUGCCUCUAUGUAUAUAAUGUAUAUGUAACUGUGUACAUAGAGUCAAGUAAAACUAGUUACAGGUGUCCCUCUCUGAUGCAUUUUAAAUGUAACUGAUCUGUCUUGAUAGAAAAAAAUGGUUGUAUCAGCAACAAAAUACAAAACUGAAAUUACUUUUAAAAAAUGUAAGCAAAUAAAGUAGACUGUAAACAGUGUUUUUGCCAGUGGUUGUGUUGCAGGCCUUGGAAGACUGGUAGACAGACCCACCAUUUUAAGGGAUACUCAGAGAGAAGGGAAGGCAGUGCUGGAAGCUUGGAGGAAGUGGAGAAUAUACUGUGUGAAGUAUCUGCCAUGUAAAAGCCAUUAAGGCCAUGUGCUGUCUUCUGAGGUUUAUUUCACACCUUUUGACUUCCAGCCUCCACAUGGGACUUGGACUAUCCAUCUAUUUCUUCAAUGUGGGCCUGUGUAUUAUCGAUCCAUCUGGCCUUGGGAUCAGCCCUUAUUGUCUCAUUGACAGAUACAUAAAACAACAGACUUAAAAACUGAGAAGUUCCUGGUUACCAGUGCUAGGGACCCAGUGCUGCCUGCGAGAGAUCAAUUCCUGUAGGACAGAAUCGUUGGGGUUGGAAGGGACCUCUGGAAAUCAUCCAGUCCAACCCCCCAUACAAUGCAGGGUCACCGAGAACAGGAAUGCAUCCAGGUGGGUUUGGAAUGUCUUCACAGGUGGAGACCCCAUGACCUCCCUGGGCAGCUGUUCCAGUGCUCUGCUGCCCUAAAUUUAAACAAGUUCUUCCUCCUGUUGAGGCGAAAUUCCCUGUGUUUCAGUUUAAGACCAGUGGCCCUUAUCCCAUCACUGGGCACCAAUGACAAAGAGUCUUCUCUUCAGACUAAACAGGCCCAGCUCCCACAGUCUGCCCUCAUAAGAGAUGCUCCAGCCCCCUCAUCAUCUUUGCAGCCUCUGCCGGACCCUCUGCAGUAACUCCCGGUCUGGUACUGAGGAGCAGCUGGACACAGCGAUAAGGCUCAGGGCUUAUAAUUAAAUAUGACGAACUUGGCAGUGACGCCGUGGAUUCGACCUACAGGUCUUUUCACCUCUGAAGGACGGGUCACCGCAUCAGCCGGUUAAACCAGGCAGGACUGGCGAGGGUCCCCGGCUCAGCUCUACUCGGUGACCCGGCCUGAGGCGGGCGUAGCUCGGCGGGCACCGCGGCUGGGGGAGCGGAGCGGGGGCCGGGCCGGGCCCGUGAGG